GGGUCGUUAGCUCAGUUGGUAGAGCAGCGGACUUUUAAUCCGUUGGUCGCUGGUUCGAACCCAGCACGGCCUA
This 73-nucleotide transfer RNA is filed under the name Linnemannia gamsii. RNAcentral's name for it is "Mortierella gamsii tRNA". It matches the Rfam family "tRNA". From Rfam's summary of the family: Transfer RNA (tRNA) molecules are approximately 80 nucleotides in length. Their secondary structure includes four short double-helical elements and three loops (D, anti-codon, and T loops). The record is from Rfam by way of RNAcentral. Lineage: Eukaryota; Fungi; Mortierellomycota; Mortierellomycetes; Mortierellales; Mortierellaceae.